UUUGAAGAGAGAGUUUAAGAGGACGUGAAACUACUUGGAAGUAAGCAAAAGGAGCUGAAAUUGACGUGCUGUAUUCAACAGAAGGAAGGAUGCCUAGCUCAGCUGCGUCUGGCUGGUGAAAGAAUUCUGUGCUUUUGCAGCUUGUCAUGCUGGCUGCUGUUACCACUUAACUGUGCUGUCGUGAUGAUGGGUGACUGCGGUCAACUUCUCUUACGAUUACUGCAGUACCAGUGGGAACAGCUAAAAACUGCUGGUGGCUGUCAAUUGGAAGAGUCUUCUAGUUCAGUGGUGUUGUGCCUUGCACUCAGCUGCUGAAGGAAAAGAGGAUUUUGGGUGAUGGCAUGCAGUUAGCCAGUUAUCAUUAGCCACCCUUUCAUCCCGUCUUGAAACACGGACCAAGGAGUCCAGCAUGUGUGCGAGCAAAUCAGAAGUAAACCUGAAAUGCGCAAUGAAAGUGAUCAUAUUGGGAUUGCUGAAAGGCAAGCACCAUUGCCACGCCUGUUUUGCAUCGUCAAUUAGGCGUAGGAAGAGUGGACAUGCUGGGACCCGAAAGAUGGUGAACUAUGCAUGAGCAGGAUGAAGCCAGAGGAAACUCUGGUGGAAGUCCAUAGCUGUUCUGACGUGCAAAUCGAUUGUCAGACUUGUGUAUAGGGGCGAAAGACUAAUCGAACUAUCUAGUAG
Molecule: ribosomal RNA, 681 nt
Filed under: Latronema sp. 2P15K2
Lineage: Eukaryota; Metazoa; Nematoda; Chromadorea; Chromadorida; Selachinematidae
Description: eukaryotic LSU rRNA
Rfam family: Eukaryotic large subunit ribosomal RNA
Source: RNAcentral